This 4061-nucleotide long non-coding RNA is filed under the name Sus scrofa (pig). Its description in RNAcentral is "lncRNA (ENSSSCG00050062200.1)". Lineage: Eukaryota; Metazoa; Chordata; Mammalia; Artiodactyla; Suidae. The record is from RNAcentral.
UUUUUUUCUUUUUAGGGCUGCACCUGUGUCAUAUGGACGUUGCCAGGCUAGGGGUCGAAUUGGGGCUGUAGCUACUGGCCUGCACCACAGCCAGAGCAACUCCAGGUCUCAGCUGCAUCUGCAACCUAUAUCAUAGCUCACCACUGCAACGCUGGAUCCUUAACCCACUGAGUGAGGCCAGGGGUCAAACCCUCAUCCUCAUGGAUACUUGUCAGGUUUGUUACCACUGAGCCCCCAUGAGAACUCCUGGAGAUUCUUCUUAUUCUUUUUUUUUUUUUUUUUUUUUUUUUUGUCUUUUUGCCAUUUCUUGGGCCACUCCUGCAGCAUAUGGAGGUUCCCGGGCUAGGGGUCGAAUCGGAGCUGUAGCCGCCGGCCUACGUCACAGCCACAGCAAUGUGGGAUCUGAGCUGCGUCUGUGACCUACAUCACAGCUCACGGCAAUGCCGGAUCCUUAACCCACUGAGCAAGGUCAGGGAUUGAACCCGCAACCUCAUGGUUCCUAGUCGAUUCGUUAACCACUGAGCCACAACGGGAACUCCUGGAGCUUCUUUUAAGACAGGCUUUCACCCAGUACUUUGGCUGUGAGACCUGACGCUGAGUGUGAUGGAGAGUGGUCGAGAACGGAGGGGGAAAAGUCAGCCUGGGGAGCUUGGGCAGGACCAGGUUCCAAAGGAAGGGUUCCUGAGCUAGAACCUGCUUGUGGGAACUCAUGCUGCCUUUGUAAGGGCUGUCCUGUGGGGCAUUUUAACCCUGGAGGUGCUCCCACCAGUCAAGCCGACUGGCUGACGUAGCCAUGCCUGUGCAGCCUGCCCCUGCCCUGUGUAGGGCUUGAGUGGCACCUCAGCAGGUUGCCCAGGAGUUCUUUGUCAUGUUUGGCCCUUCUGCGCCGUAGUGACUGAGUGAUGACCAAAGCAAGAGGGACUCUGCGGUUACUAUUUUGAUAAGCCUAGUUCUCAUUUCAUUUUUUUUUUAAAAGAAGAGGCUAAACUAUUUAGGUUAUUGAUGUAGAUAGGUUUCAUUUUUUUUCUUCAAUCAUCCAUGGAGAACCAUUUCAUAAUUCACUGAAUAUACAAUAAACACAGGCUUAGUUUUCAAAAGAAAGAAGGGAUUUGUAGCGUCUUAAAAGAUAUAAAUUCCUCUAAAAUUUCCACUGUGAGUUGACAGGGCAUCAUUCCCUCUAAAAUCUUUGUUAUGAAAACCACAUAAAGAGCACACAAUCAUUUAUUGCAUAAUUUAAUACCAUUGUUAUUCAUUUAUAGAGCACUUCUUAUCGGAAAAGUUUUAACCAUUUAUAAGAACCUUGUGAGGAAACCAACAUUGCUCCUAUUUUAGUGAUAAAGAAAAAUGAAGCUCCCAGGAUCCAAACGAGUGGCCCCAAGGAUUACCAGAAAAGGAGUUAAUGUUCUGAAAGCGAAGAUAAAAUUUCUCUGUAGUUUCAUCUCCCUUCCCACCCAGAGAUUAAAAAAAGCUGACAUUUUGAUGUAUUUUCUCUAAGCUUUUUGUUCUCUGCUAUAAAUGUAAAGAAUAUCAUAAUGUUUGGUAAACAUUUUCUUAUGUUAUUCAUUAGUCUCCGAAAACGGGAUUUUUAAGUGUUGUAUAACAGUUCCUCACGCUGAUGCCCCAGAGCUUAUGUAACCACUCUUCCCAUGGUAUAUUUGGGUUGCUUCCUGUUGGCUCUUAUAAAGGAUGCUCUGGAAAACAUGUUUGUUCACAUACAUUAUUGACAGAGAGGUAGAUAUCGCCUAGAAAAACCUAAAGAGUAGACAGCCACCAUCAACUAAGAUCUAGAUAUCAUCUGAAAUGUGCAAAAGACUCUUCUAGAUGUGGGGGCACAGGAUGGAAAAGGGAUGCUCUGACUGUAGCAACUUGAUUGAUACUUGGAAUUUACAUGAGAUAACAUGAAAAGUAUUAAUACGAGGCAAUAAUCAACCCCAAAGGCAUGGAAUGAACAGCAGCAUACACCAUCAGGCUGUGCAGGGUUGAUGCUAAAAACGUCAAUCGCUUUGUUUCAAUUUGCAAAAGCUAAGGGUUUGGACCACUGAGUAUGUAGAACUUGAAUUGGGCUCCCAAGGGCAGCUAAGUGUGGUGUGGACUUACAAUAAAACAGAUCUGGGAGUUCCCUGGUGGCCUGGUGAUAAAGGACUUGGUGUUGUCACUGCUGUGACUUCGGGGUCUGCUGUGGCAUGGGUUUGAUCUCUGGACCGGGAACUUCUGCAUACCUCGGGUGUGGCCAAAACAAACAAACAGAUCUGGCUGUAGCUCCUAGUUCUAAUUCCUAGCAAUAUAAAUGUAGACCAGUUACUUUCCUUUUUAUGACCCCAGUCUUCUCAUUUGCAAAAUGGAAAUAAUAAUAUCACUGUUGGGAGUUCCCUUGUGGCACAGCAGGUUAAGGAUAUGGCAUUGUUGGUGCUGUGGCUCAGGUCCCUGCUGUGGGUUCCGUCCCUGGCCUGGGAACUUCCACAUGCAGUGGGUAUGGACAAAAAAAAAAAAAAAAAAAAAAAAAAACCAAGAAAGAAAGAAAGAAAGAAAAAAAUAAUAUAAUUGUCAUCAAGGAUUAGGUGGAAUAAUGACUACAAGGACUUUUAAUGUUAUUAAUUAUUACAAAUGGAAACAUUUCAGGAGAGUGACUGGAAUUUUGAUAUCAUUUUGCAGUUUACCACAUAGACAGAAGGUAUUUGAAACAGUAUGGCAACAAAGAGUUUUGGGGCUGCAGUAAAAUGUUUAAGACCUGUUGUAUUCUAGAGUGCAUGCAAACCCAAGGAGGAAUUAAAAGAGUACGUGUCAAAUACAUAUCUCCUUCUCCAUUUGAAAUGGUUUUGUGUCUAGAACUUUUGCAGCUCAGAGCUCCAAGGACACUAAAUGGCUUGUUGGCAGCCCCAAAUGUUGGUGUCACAGUGGUUUUGUGGCCUCCAGGGCUGGUGAGGAAAUGCCCUUACACUCAUCCUCAGAGGAUGCUUGGUCUUCUGGAUGGAUGGAGGGUCGUACAGCUUUCUUGCCAAAACUCAGAUUGCAUGAAAUUCUUCAUUCACUGGGCAAGCAGAGAAGCUGGAAGCACAAGCAGAAUGGAAAAAUCAUCUUUCUUUUUUAAUGUCCUGAGGAAGAGAAAAUCUUUGUGGUCGGGAGGGCUAGAUGAAAGAUAGAGUUGGACAGCUUGGAGGGUACUUAGGAGCAUAAAUGGGUUGAGUGAGAUAGAAAUAUGGGUACCAUACUUCAUUUGGGAGAGGUUUACGUGUGGAGAGGAGGUCCUGAGAAUGGACAUGGCAGCGUGGGCCUGAGAGAGUUCCAGGGAUUCUGGGGCUGGAGUGACACAGGGCCGGUAUUCUGGGGCUGUGCCAGGCAGCAAAGAGGAGAGUUAGGCUGGAAGCCCAUUGUGUGUGUGUGAGUGUGCAAGGAUGUGUGCAAAUGUAUAUCAGUGUGUGAGAGAGUGUAUGUGUGUGAAUGUGUUUGAAGAUGGAAGAGUCUAUGUACAGGAGUGUAUGAGAAUGUGAGUGUGUGUUUGCGUGUGUGACAAUGUGUGAGAAUGUGUGAGUGUAUGUAUGUGAGUAAGGGUGCGUGUGUUGGUCCAAAGGAAAUCUCAUCUUGGAGAAGUCUAGUAAGGGCUUCUCCAAACUUUUAACUGGGGCUCCUGGGUAUUUAACUUAGGAAUACUCUCUGCUAUCAGCUUUGCUGUGUUGGAGAAACUUUCUCUGGGGCAGGUACGUAAUACAGUGUUUUUUUUUUUUAAAUUAAAUUAAAUAAGAAAAUGAAGUAUAGUUUUUUCACACCUGAGGUUCCCACUGAGUGAAGGCAGGGAUUGAACCCGUGUCCUCGUGGAUACUGGUCAGGUUUGUGAACCACUGAGCCACAAUGGGAACUCCAAAGCAUACUUGAUGAACUCGUAGCACAGUGCUAAGUGCCGGAACUCUGCCAUCCGCUUGCCUGGAGGCCUUGCCUGUAUAAACUUGGGCAAAUAACUGCUCUGUCCCUUAGUUUCCUUGUCCCUAGAAAAUGGACGACAAGAGUAUUCCCACCUCAUAGGGUGAUAGGGAGCGUUAAAUAAAUGAGUUAAUACAUGUGAGGCA